Molecule: ribosomal RNA, 245 nt
Filed under: uncultured Prevotella sp.
Lineage: Bacteria; Pseudomonadati; Bacteroidota; Bacteroidia; Bacteroidales; Prevotellaceae
Description: partial 16S ribosomal RNA
Rfam family: Bacterial small subunit ribosomal RNA
Source: RNAcentral
UACGGAAGGUCCGGGCGUUAUCCGGAUUUAUUGGGUUUAAAGGGAGCGUAGGCCGCCAGAUAAGCGUGUUGUGAAAUGUACCGGCUCAACCGGUGAAUUGCAGCGCGAACUGUUUGGCUUGAGUGCACGGUAAGCAGGCGGAAUUCAUGGUGUAGCGGUGAAAUGCUUAGAUAUCAUGAAGAACUCCGAUUGCGAAGGCAGCUUGCUGCAGUGCGACUGACGCUGAUGCUCGAAGGUGCGGGUAU